UACGAAGGGUGCUAGCGUUGUCCGGAAUUAUUGGGCGUAAAGAGCUCGUAGGCGGUUUGUUGCGUCGGCUGUGAAAACCUGGGGCUCAACCCCGGGCCUGCAGCCGAUACGGGCAAACUAGAAUUCGGUAGGGGAGACUGGAAUUCCUGGUGUAGCGGUGAAAUGCGCAGAUAUCAGGAGGAACACCGGUGGCGAAGGCGGGUCUCUGGGCCGAUAUUGACGCUGAGGAGCGAAAGCGUGGGGAGAGAACAGG
Molecule: ribosomal RNA, 253 nt
Filed under: uncultured bacterium
Lineage: Bacteria
Description: partial 16S ribosomal RNA
Rfam family: Bacterial small subunit ribosomal RNA
Source: RNAcentral